This 464-nucleotide ribosomal RNA is filed under the name uncultured bacterium. Its description in RNAcentral is "bacterial SSU rRNA". It matches the Rfam family "Bacterial small subunit ribosomal RNA", at positions 331 to 792 of the family's 1533-position model. The record is from RNAcentral.
CCAGACUCCUACGGGAGGCAGCAGUGAGGAAUAUUGGUCAAUGGGCGCGAGCCUGAACCAGCCAAGUCGCGUGAGGGAGGACGGCCCUACGGGUUGUAAACCUCUUUUGCCGGGGAGCAACGGGCGCCACGUGCGGCGUCACUGAGAGUACCCGGAGAAAAAGCAUCGGCUAACUCCGUGCCAGCAGCCGCGGUAAUACGGAGGAUGCGAGCGUUAUCCGGAUUUAUUGGGUUUAAAGGGUGCGCAGGCGGAAUGUCGAGUCAGCGGUAAAAUUUCGGGGCUCAACCCCGUCGUGCCGUUGAAACUGGCGUUCUUGAGUGAGCGAGAAGUAUGCGGAAUGCGUGGUGUAGCGGUGAAAUGCAUAGAUAUCACGCAGAACUCCGAUUGCGAAGGCAGCAUACCGGCGCCCAACUGACGCUGAAGCACGAAAGCGUGGGUAUCGAACAGGAUUAGAUACCCGUGUA